This 510-nucleotide ribosomal RNA is filed under the name uncultured bacterium. RNAcentral describes it as "partial 16S ribosomal RNA". It matches the Rfam family "Bacterial small subunit ribosomal RNA", at positions 28 to 523 of the family's 1533-position model. The record is from RNAcentral.
GACGAACGCUGGCGGCGUGCCUAAUACAUGCAAGUCGAGCGGAAGUUGGAGAGCUUGCUCUUCAACUUUAGCGGCGGACGGGUGAGUAACACGUGGGCAACCUGCCCUGCAGAUCGGGAUAACUCCGGGAAACCGGUGCUAAUACCGAAUAGUUUUCGCCACCUCCUGGUGGCGUACGGAAAGACGGUUUCGGCUGUCACUGCAGGAUGGCCCGCGGCGCAUUAGCUAGUUGGUGGGGUAACGGCCCACCAAGGCGACGAUGCGUAGACGACCUGAGAGGGUGAUCGGGCACACUGGGACUUGGGCACGGCCCAGACUCCGACGGGAGGCAGCAUUAGGGAAUCUUCCGCAAUGGACGAAAGUCUGACGGAGCAACGCCGCGUGAGUGACGAAGGUUUUCGGAUCGGAAAACUCUGUUGUGAGGGAAGAACAAGUACCACUUAACUACUGGUACCUGGACGGUACCUCACCAGAAAGCCACGGCUAACUACGUGCCAGCCGCCGCGGUAA